GUUGGAGUAUUGAGGGGAGCUGCUCCUAGUACGAGAGGACCGGAGUGGACUGACCACUCGUGUACCGGUUGUUCCGCCAGGGGCAUUGCCGGGUAGCGACGUCGGGAAGGGAUAACCGCUGAAAGCAUCUAAGUGGGAAGCCCCCCCCAAGAUGAGUACUCCCAGACUUUGUUCUCGGAAGGGCCGUGCGAGACGAGCACGUUGAUAGGCGGCAAGUGGAAGCGUGGUAACACGUGCAGCUGAGCCGUACUAAUGGCCCGAGAGGCUUGACCAG
Molecule: ribosomal RNA, 274 nt
Filed under: Gemmatimonadota bacterium
Lineage: Bacteria; Pseudomonadati; Gemmatimonadota
Description: Gemmatimonadetes bacterium partial 23S ribosomal RNA
Rfam family: Bacterial large subunit ribosomal RNA
Source: RNAcentral